GACAGUUUGGCUGAGUGGUCGAAGGCGCUAGUUUUAGGCGCUAGUCCGAAAGGGCGCGAGUUCGAAUUUCAUAGUUGUUA
Molecule: transfer RNA, 80 nt
Filed under: Perkinsus olseni
Lineage: Eukaryota; Perkinsozoa; Perkinsida; Perkinsidae
Description: tRNA-Leu
Rfam family: tRNA
About the family: Transfer RNA (tRNA) molecules are approximately 80 nucleotides in length. Their secondary structure includes four short double-helical elements and three loops (D, anti-codon, and T loops). Further hydrogen bonds mediate the characteristic L-shaped molecular structure. tRNAs have two regions of fundamental functional importance: the anti-codon, which is responsible for specific mRNA codon recognition, and the 3' end, to which the tRNAs corresponding amino acid is attached (by aminoacyl-tRNA synthetases). tRNAs cope with the degeneracy of the genetic code in two manners: having more than one tRNA (with a specific anti-codon) for a particular amino acid; and 'wobble' base-pairing, i.e. permitting non-standard base-pairing at the 3rd anti-codon position.
Source: RNAcentral